RNAcentral lists this ribosomal RNA (490 nucleotides) under uncultured organism. RNAcentral describes it as "bacterial SSU rRNA". It matches the Rfam family "Bacterial small subunit ribosomal RNA", at positions 29 to 507 of the family's 1533-position model. The record is from RNAcentral.
AGUGAACGCUGGCGGUAGGCCUAACACAUGCAAGUCGAACGGCAGCACAGGAGAGCUUGCUCUCUGGGUGGCGAGUGGCGGACGGGUGAGGAAUACAUCGGAAUCUACCUUUUCGUGGGGGAUAACGUAGGGAAACUUACGCUAAUACCGCAUAAGACCUUCGGGUGAAAGUGGGGGACCUUCGGGCCUCACGCGGAUAGAUGAGCCGAUGUCGGAUUAGCUUGUUGGCGGGGUAAAAGCCCACCAAGGCGACGAUCCGUAGCUGGUCUGAGAGGAUGAUCAGCCACACUGGAACUGAGACACGGUCCAGACUCCUACGGGAGGCAGCAGUGGGGAAUAUUGGACAAUGGGCGCAAGCCUGAUCCAGCCAUACCGCGUGGGUGAAGAAGGCCUUCGGGUUGUAAAGCCCUUUUGUUGGGAAAGAAAUCCUGCCGGUUAAUAACCAGUAGGGAUGACGGUACCCAAAGAAUAAGCACCGGCUAACUUCGUG